Molecule: ribosomal RNA, 373 nt
Filed under: uncultured organism
Description: partial 16S ribosomal RNA
Rfam family: Bacterial small subunit ribosomal RNA
Source: RNAcentral
GGGGGGGCAAGCGUUUGUUCGGAAUUACUGGGCGUAAAGGGCGCGUAGGCGGUCCCGCAAGUCCUCCGUGAAAUCCCACAGCUCAACUGUGGAACUGCGAGGGAAACUGCAGGACUUGAGUCCGGGAGAGGAGAGUGGAAUUCCCAGUGUAGCGGUGAAAUGCGUAGAUAUUGGGAGGAACACCGGUGGCGAAGGCGGCUCUCUGGACCGGUACUGACGCUGAGGCGCGAAAGCUAGGGGAGCAAACGGGAUUAGAUACCCCGGGUAGUCCUAGCCUUAAACGAUGAGCACUUGGUGUGGCGGGUAUCGACCCCCUGCCGUGCCGAAGCUAACGCAUUAAGUGCUCCGCCUGGGGAGUACGGUCGCAAGGCUG